This 253-nucleotide ribosomal RNA is filed under the name uncultured bacterium. RNAcentral's name for it is "partial 16S ribosomal RNA". It matches the Rfam family "Bacterial small subunit ribosomal RNA", at positions 524 to 776 of the family's 1533-position model. The record is from RNAcentral.
UACAGAGGUGGCAAGCGUUGUUCGGAAUUACUGGGCGUAAAGGGCGCGCAGGCGGCCUUCUAAGUCAGACGUGAAAUCCCCCGGCUUAACCUGGGAACUGCGUCUGAUACUGGGAGGCUUGAGUAUGGGAGAGGGAUGUAGAAUUCCAGGUGUAGCGGUGAAAUGCGUAGAUAUCUGCAGGAAUACCGGUGGCGAAGGCGGCAUCCUGGACCAGAACUGACGCUGAGGCGCGAAAGCGUGGGGAGCAAACAGG